This is a long non-coding RNA of Syngnathus typhle (broad-nosed pipefish), 338 nucleotides long. RefSeq lists it as uncharacterized. NCBI's taxonomy places the organism in Eukaryota, Metazoa, Chordata, Actinopteri, Syngnathiformes, Syngnathidae. The transcript has 2 exons. The record is from RefSeq and is a predicted model, not a curated record.
GCUCGUCCAAUCACAGCGGCGUGUUAAGUCAGGUGACCCACGGUGAUCCUAAGCGUGAACUUUCCCCUAGUCGUCAUAGUGGGUUACCUAAUCUUGUCCACCCUUCAAACGUCUUUUCGAACAAGACUUGAGCGGCCGACCGGGGUGUGGGGGAUCACAAUCGGCCACAUUUGUGGGAAACAAAUGUCAGGUUGAAGAUCAGAUGGGGAUCCAAAUGAAUGCAAUUGGGGCACCCUUGGUUCUGUGCUCUGGAUUCAGGCAGUGGGUGGGCAUGCUUGCUAUACUCUAUGGCUUUUUAGCAAAACAAUCUCAGAAUAAGUAAAAGACAAGUGAAAACA